UACGGAGGGUGCGAGCGUUAUCCGGAAUCACUGGGUUUAAAGGGUGCGUAGGCGGUUUGAUAAGUCAGUGGUGAAAGGCCGUCGCUUAACAAUGGGACUGCCAUCGAUACUGUUAGACUUGAAUCAGGAUGAGGUUGGCGGAAUAUGGCAUGUAGCGGUGAAAUGCUUAGAUAUGCCAUGGAAUACCGAUUGCGAAGGCAGCUGACUGGACCUGAAUUGACGCUGAGGCACGAAAGCGUGGGGAGCGAACAGGAUUAGAUACCCUGGUAGUCCACGCCCUAAACGAUGCUUACUCGUUGUUUGAUCUAAGGAUUGAGUGACUAAGCGGAAGCGAUAAGUAAGCCACCUGGGGAGUACGACCGCAAGGUUGAA
Molecule: ribosomal RNA, 372 nt
Filed under: uncultured bacterium
Lineage: Bacteria
Description: bacterial SSU rRNA
Rfam family: Bacterial small subunit ribosomal RNA
Source: RNAcentral